This 206-nucleotide long non-coding RNA is filed under the name Nicotiana benthamiana. RNAcentral describes it as "long non-coding RNA (NBEN_LNC016812)". The record is from RNAcentral. Lineage: Eukaryota; Viridiplantae; Streptophyta; Magnoliopsida; Solanales; Solanaceae.
AUUUUUCUCUUUUCUGUGAAUAGAAUUCUCUCAUUUUCCAGAGAGUUCCUAAAAGCUCUGCCUUCUCUCUACUUUCUCUCUCUAGAUUUUCUAUGAUUUCUCGGUCUAAUAUAAAUGUUUACAUGGUAUCAGAGCCUCGACGACGAUCCGACUAUGUUUCUAUGUGCUUCAUUGUCUUGGAUGAAGUUUUUUUCGAGGUUUUGGGG